GACAGAGGUGCCGAGCGUUAGGCGGAAUCACUGGGCUUAAAGCGUGUGUAGGCGGGCGGGCAAGUACCUUGUGAAAUCCCACGGCUCAACCGUGGAACGGCUGGGUAUACUGCCCGUCUUGAGCCAACUAGGGGCGAGCGGAACAGACGGUGGAGCGGUGAAAUGCGUAGAUAUCGUCUGGAACGCCGAAGGUGAAAACAGCUCGCUGGGGUUGUGCUGACGCUGAGACACGAAAGCCAGGGGAGCGAACGGG
This 253-nucleotide ribosomal RNA is filed under the name uncultured bacterium. RNAcentral describes it as "partial 16S ribosomal RNA". It matches the Rfam family "Bacterial small subunit ribosomal RNA", at positions 524 to 776 of the family's 1533-position model. The record is from RNAcentral.